AAAGGUAAGCUACUAAGAGCGAAUGGUGGAUGCCUUGACUGGUAAAGGCGAUGAAGGACGUACUAGACUGCGAUAAGCUACGGGGAGCUGUCAAGAAGCUUUGAUCCGUAGAUUUCCGAAUGGGGCAACCCAAUGUAUAGAGAUAUACAUUACCUAUAUAGGAGCGAACGAGGGGAAUUGAAACAUCUUAGUACCCUCAGGAAAAGAAAUCAAUAGAGAUUGCGUCAGUAGCGGCGAGCGAAAGCGCAAGAGGGCAAACCCAGUGCUUGCACUGGGGGUUGUAGGACUGCAAUGUGCAAGAGCUGAGUUUAGCAGAACAUUCUGGAAAGUAUAGCCAUAGAGGGUGAUAGUCCCGUAUGCGAAAAACAAAGCUUAGCUAGCAGUAUCCUGAGUAGGGCGGGACACGAGGAAUCCUGUCUGAAUCCGGGUCGACCACGAUCCAACCCUAAAUACUAAUACCAGAUCGAUAGUGCACAAGUACCGUGAGGGAAAGGUGAAAAGAACUGAGGUGAUCAGAGUGAAAUAGAACCUGAAACCAUUUGCUUACAAUCAUUCAGAGCACUAUGUAGCAAUACAGUGUGAUGGACUGCC
This 591-nucleotide ribosomal RNA is filed under the name Campylobacter jejuni. Its description in RNAcentral is "partial 23S ribosomal RNA". It matches the Rfam family "Bacterial large subunit ribosomal RNA", at positions 1 to 605 of the family's 2925-position model. Lineage: Bacteria; Pseudomonadati; Campylobacterota; Epsilonproteobacteria; Campylobacterales; Campylobacteraceae. The record is from RNAcentral.